RNAcentral lists this ribosomal RNA (326 nucleotides) under uncultured eukaryote. RNAcentral describes it as "partial 18S ribosomal RNA". It matches the Rfam family "Eukaryotic small subunit ribosomal RNA", at positions 1470 to 1796 of the family's 1831-position model. The record is from RNAcentral.
CCCUUAGAUGUUCUGGGCCGCACGCGCGCUACACUGAAUGGAUCAACGUGUUUUCCCUUCCCGAGAGGGACGGGUAACCCGCUGAACCCCAUUCGUGGUAGGGAUCGGAGCUUGCAAUUGUUCUCCGUGAACCAGGAAUUCCCAGUAAGCGCAAGUCAUAAGCUUGCGUUGAUUACGUCCCUGCCCUUUGUACACACCGCCCGUCGCACCUACUGAUUGGAUGACUCGGUGAAAAAUUGGGACUGUGAAGAACACUGCUUAAUUGCGGCGUUUUUUAUGGGAACUUUUUUAAACCUCGUUAUCUAGAAGAAGGUGAAGUCGUAACA